Long non-coding RNA from Brienomyrus brachyistius, 731 nucleotides. RefSeq lists it as uncharacterized. The transcript has 6 exons. The record is from RefSeq and is a predicted model, not a curated record. Lineage: Eukaryota; Metazoa; Chordata; Actinopteri; Osteoglossiformes; Mormyridae.
UCUCUUUCGCGGUUGUUGAUGCUUUCGUUCUCAGAAUUGAGUGAUGAGGUGUGACUUUGGGAUGCUCUUCGCGGAAGAAGGAGGCGAGGCAGAGAAGGGCGCCUCUCCGUCCUGUCCCAUUCGCUAACGUUAGCUGGUGCUCCGAAGUAAACAUUGAAAGGGAGGGAAGUUAUGAGGAUCUCGUCUCCACUCUCCAAGGAACAGGCAGCCCUCCUGCUAGACCUGGUUGAGUUAGUGACCCCUUCAGCCUCACCAGCAGAUAAUCUUGCCUGACAUCCUUACAUCUUUUGGUGUCAAGCCUAUUCUUACAUCAUGGCAAUGGCCUCCACUCUCCAUUAGGCCAUUGCAGGAUCUCCUGGACGAGGGGCUGGCUGCUGCAGGGUCGGCAGUAGGGGGCGACCUUGAAUUCACUCUAAGAUGAGAAAACGUACCAGCUGUGAGAUUGCAGAGACCCACCAUGAAAGGCUGAGCACCCUCUCCAGUGGGCACUAAGAAAAGGUCUCUGCUGCUGGCCUGUGUCGCGAGUCGAUGGGCCAGGAUGAAGAGCAGAGGAAGAGGAGGCAUUCCCGGGCCUCCCGGGCGCUUAACGCAAACAGACGCGACGUAAGACAGACUGGGAGUGCCAGAGUGCCGUGACGGUGCUGGGGGAGGACGCAGGCGUGGCUUGGGGAGGGGGCUUUACCUCUCACUACAGCAUCCCGUGACAAGAGCUGAUAUUCCCCAGAUCACAC